AACGAACGCUGGCGGCGCGCCUAAUACAUGCAAGUCGAGCGAGAAGGUGUAGCAAUACACUUGUAAAGCGGCGAACGGGUGAGGAAUACAUGGGUAAUCUACCAUCGAGUGGGGAAUAACCAACCGAAAGGUUGGCUAAUACCGCGUACGCCUCCGGGUCUUCGGGUUCGGAGGGAAAGCUGCACUGUGAGUGUAGCGCUCUUUGAUGAGCUCAUGUCCUAUCAGCUUGUUGGUAGGGUAACGGCCUACCAAGGCUUUGACGGGUAGCUGGUCUGAGAGGACGAUCAGCCACACUGGCACUGCGACACGGGCCAGACUCCUACGGGAGGCAGCAGUAAGGAAUAUUGCGCAAUGGGCGAAAGCCUGACGCAGCGACGCCGCGUGGGGGAUGAAGGUCUUCGGAUUGUAAAGUCCUUUUGUUAGGGAAGAAUAUUUUGACGGUACCUAACGAAUAAGAGGUUGCUAACUCUGUGCCAGCAGCCGCGGUAAAGUCGUCAU
Molecule: ribosomal RNA, 498 nt
Filed under: uncultured bacterium
Lineage: Bacteria
Description: bacterial SSU rRNA
Rfam family: Bacterial small subunit ribosomal RNA
Source: RNAcentral